GGGUUGUGAGGUUAAGCGACUAAGCGUACACGGUGGAUGCCCUGGCAGUCAGAGGCGAUGAAGGGCGUGCUAAUCUGCGAUAAGCGCCGGUAAGGUGAUAUGAACCGUUAUAACCGGCGAUACCCGAAUGGGGAAACCCAGUGUGACUCGUCACACUAUCAUUAACUGAAUCCAUAGGUUAAUGAGGCGAACCGGGGGAACUGAAACAUCUAAGUACCCCGAGGAAAAGAAAUCAACCGAGAUUCCCCCAGUAGCGGCGAGCGAACGGGGAGGAGCCCAGAGCCUGAAUCAGCAUGUGUGUUAGUGGAAGCGUCUGGAAAGGCGCGCGAUACAGGGUGACAGCCCCGUACACAAAAGCGCAUGUGCUGUGAGCUCGAUGAGUAGGGCGGGACACGUGGUAUCCUGUCUGAAUAUGGGGGGACCAUCCUCCAAGGCUAAAUACUCCUGACUGACCGAUAGUGAACCAGUACCGUGAGGGAAAGGCGAAAAGAACCCCGGCGAGGGGAGUGAAAAAGAACCUGAAACCGUGUACGUACAAGCAGUGGGAGCACAGGUUUACCUGUGUGACUGCGUACCUUUUGUAUAAUGGGUCAGCGACUUAUAUUCUGUAGCAAGGUUAACCGUAUAGGGGAGCCGGAGG
This 640-nucleotide ribosomal RNA is filed under the name Salmonella enterica subsp. enterica serovar Lubbock. RNAcentral's name for it is "partial 23S ribosomal RNA". It matches the Rfam family "Bacterial large subunit ribosomal RNA", at positions 1 to 672 of the family's 2925-position model. The record is from RNAcentral. Lineage: Bacteria; Pseudomonadati; Pseudomonadota; Gammaproteobacteria; Enterobacterales; Enterobacteriaceae.